This 484-nucleotide ribosomal RNA is filed under the name uncultured bacterium. RNAcentral's name for it is "partial 16S ribosomal RNA". It matches the Rfam family "Bacterial small subunit ribosomal RNA", at positions 30 to 507 of the family's 1533-position model. The record is from RNAcentral.
AUUGAACGCUGGCGGCAGGCCUAACACAUGCAAGUCGAGCGGAUGAAGGGGGCUUGCUCCUGGAUUCAGCGGCGGACGGGUGAGUAAUGCCUAGGAAUCUGCCUGGUAGUGGGGGAUAACGUCCGGAAACGGGCGCUAAUACCGCAUACGUCCUGAGGGAGAAAGUGGGGGAUCUUCGGACCUCACGCUAUCAGAUGAGCCUAGGUCGGAUUAGCUAGUUGGUGGGGUAAAGGCCUACCAAGGCGACGAUCCGUAACUGGUCUGAGAGGAUGAUCAGUCACACUGGAACUGAGACACGGUCCAGACUCCUACGGGAGGCAGCAGUGGGGAAUAUUGGACAAAGGGCGAAAGCCUGAUCCAGCCAUGCCGCGUGUGUGAAGAAGGUCUUCGGAUUGUAAAGCACUUAAAGUUGGGAGGAAGGGCAGUAAGUUAAUACCUUGCUGUUUUGACGUUACCAACAGAAUAAGCACCGGCUAACUUCGUG